GUGGGGAAUAUUGGACAAUGGGGGCAACCCUGAUCCAGCAAUGCCGCGUGUGUGAAGAAGGUCUUCGGAUCGUAAAGCACUUUCGACGGGGACGAUGAUGACGGUACCCGUAGAAGAAGCCCCGGCUAACUUCGUGCCAGCAGCCGCGGUAAUACGAAGGGGGCUAGCGUUGCUCGGAAUUACUGGGCGUAAAGGGCGCGUAGGCGGCUCUGUUAGUCAGGCGUGAAAUUCCUGGGCUUAACCUGGGGACUGCGCUUGAUACUGCGGAGCGUGAGGCCGAUAGAGGGUGGUGGAAUUCCCAGUGUAGAGGUGAAAUUCGUAGAUAUUGGGAAGAACACCGGUGGCGAAGGCGACCACCUGGCUCGGUACUGACGCUGAGGCGCGACAGCGUGGGGAGCAAACAGGAUUAGAUACCCCUGUAGUCC
Molecule: ribosomal RNA, 425 nt
Filed under: uncultured bacterium
Lineage: Bacteria
Description: partial 16S ribosomal RNA
Rfam family: Bacterial small subunit ribosomal RNA
Source: RNAcentral